UAAAUGCAUUACUGUAAACAUUUAUUAUUUAAGCUGCUUUCAUGGGGCUAGAGCUUAAAAGGGUUAAUAUAUAAACCUCCCUCCAGCACCAUAUCAAGACCAUCUCACUAUUAGGAGCACUUUGUAAAUUCCUUUCAAUUUAGAGAUCUAAGACUGUGUUUUCAGGUUACAUGUAAAGUGCCUUGAAGAAGGAUUGCAGAGAAGACGGACUGCUGUAUUACCUGCAGACACCCCGAUAAGCGAGGCUCUCGCCUGCCAGAGAUCAAUGUCAUGGAGGGAGGGAGGAAGCACCCCCUGGAGGCGGGUGUGGGAUCUGGAUGCAAAGUAUUGGCAAGGAGCCAGUUGGACUUUCGUGGGCAAAUUAAAGUGUCUGCAUUAUGGAGAAGACCACUUUGGAGAAGAUCUCUUUUUGUCCUUUGAGGAACGAGAUACUCUGUGGCCAUUGAAGGUCAGCACUAUAAUGGUAUUGUGGACAUAAUUGAUCUACCUUCUAAACAGUGUGGGACAUUUUGAAACCCUCCAGUGGUACUAAACUAUACUGUUUACUUUCCUGAAUACUUACUGUGUGGAUAUUAAAUUAUAGCACCCCUAGGAAAACCAUUGUUAUUUUAGGGGGUAUAAGUGUUCUUGUUGUUGACAUUUCUUCAUAAAAAAAAACAGCUCUUCUGUGUGUUUUUUUGUUUUUGUUUGACACAAUAAAGAACCGUUUUACGCACAUGUCUGUGUGGUUCCUGGAGUGGUCUGGUGGUCAGUCUGAGAUCCAAACAACAUGUGGAGUAUAGAAGAGAAGGUUAUUAUAAAAAUAUAUAUUUACAUGUAAAGUCAUCCAAACAUAACCCCUGACACACACACACAACUCAAUUCCGAUCACAGUAGAACAUACUUGAAAUCAGUGACUGUAUCUUCAACUU
Polyodon spathula (Mississippi paddlefish) is the source of this 911-nucleotide long non-coding RNA. RefSeq lists it as uncharacterized. Lineage: Eukaryota; Metazoa; Chordata; Actinopteri; Acipenseriformes; Polyodontidae. The transcript has 3 exons. The record is from RefSeq and is a predicted model, not a curated record.